GAUGAACGCUAGCUACAGGCUUAACACAUGCAAGUCGAGGGGCAGCGGUAUCGAAAGCUUGCUUUCGGUAGCCGGCGACCGGCGCACGGGUGAGUAACGCGUAUCGAACCUGCCUCAUACUCGGGAAUAGCCUUGCGAAAGUAAGAUUAAUGCCCGGUGUUUUCAGAGUCCCGCAUGAGGCUUUGAACAAAGAUUUAUCGGUAUGAGAUGGCGAUGCGUCCCAUUAGCUUGUUGGCGGGGUAACGGCCCACCAAGGCAUCGAUGGGUAGGGGUGCUGAGAGGAAGGUCCCCCACAUUGGAACUGGGACACGGUCCAACCUCCUACGGGAGGCAGCAGUGAGGAAUAUUGGUCAAUGGGCGGAAGCCUGAACCAGCCAAGUAGCGUGCAGGAAGACGGCCCUCCGGGUUGUAAACUGCUUUUAGUUGGGAAUAAAACGGGGCUCGUGAGCCCCCUUGCAUGUACCAUCAGAAAAAGGACCGGCUAAUUCCGUGCCAGCCGCCGCCGUAA
RNAcentral lists this ribosomal RNA (508 nucleotides) under uncultured bacterium. RNAcentral describes it as "partial 16S ribosomal RNA". It matches the Rfam family "Bacterial small subunit ribosomal RNA", at positions 28 to 523 of the family's 1533-position model. The record is from RNAcentral.